UACAAUUUGAUUGCAAUUUACAAUUAUGCUUGUUUUCAAAUACUAAGCAUUUAUUGUUUUUAUUUCAGAUCCAGACAAGGGACAAUUGAGAAAUACAGGAAUACAUCAUUCCCUCGAUGUGUGGCAUGGUACCAAAAACCUCUCUAAAUGAACACUCGCAUCAGCAAAAGCAGCGCUCAAUUCUAUUGCAGUGGAGUAAAGACAUCUGUAAUCACUUCUGGUACUGCUGUAGGAUGGCUGACAACUAUGACCAAUUCUUUGACAUGUGGAUUGGGCUCCUCCAUCAUGUUACUGGUGAGCAUUCAUGGGCACUUGGUAGCUUCAUGGUCCCCUUACUGAGAUCAGGGACAAGAAUUGGAUUGAGUCCAACUCUGUAGCCCAUCAGAAGCUUAGGGAAUUAAUUCUGGAUGUACGAUGGCUCAAGGACAUCCCCAAGUAUCUGCAUUUCAGAUCAACUGCUGAACUUGAGUCAUUCCACAACCACAUAGUGAUGUACGCCAGUAAACGCUUCUGCUUUAUGCCUGCUGUGUACAAUGCACGCAUCUUACUUGCAGUACUUGACUACUGCCACCACAUCAACAGAU
Long non-coding RNA from Tachysurus vachellii, 584 nucleotides. RefSeq lists it as uncharacterized. The transcript has 4 exons. Lineage: Eukaryota; Metazoa; Chordata; Actinopteri; Siluriformes; Bagridae. The record is from RefSeq and is a predicted model, not a curated record.